UGGCGUAAACAGAGGGGGGCGAACCCGCGAGGGGAGCGGAUCCCAAAAAUAACGUCCCAGUUCGGAUUGUAGUCUGCAACCCGACUACAUGAAGCCGGAAUCGCUAGUAAUCGCAGAUCAGCAUGCUGCGGUGAAUACGUUCCCGGGUCUUGUACACACCGCCCGUCACACCAUGGGAGCCGGGAAUGCCCGAAGUCGGUGACCCAACCGUAAGGAGGGAGCCGCCGAAGGCAGGCCUGGUAACUGGGGUGAAGUCGUAACAAGGUAUC
This 269-nucleotide ribosomal RNA is filed under the name uncultured bacterium. Its description in RNAcentral is "partial 16S ribosomal RNA". It matches the Rfam family "Bacterial small subunit ribosomal RNA", at positions 1231 to 1500 of the family's 1533-position model. The record is from RNAcentral.